RNAcentral lists this ribosomal RNA (307 nucleotides) under uncultured bacterium. RNAcentral's name for it is "partial 16S ribosomal RNA". It matches the Rfam family "Bacterial small subunit ribosomal RNA", at positions 506 to 807 of the family's 1533-position model. The record is from RNAcentral.
AGACAGCAGCCGCCGCGGUAAUACGUAGGGUGCGAGCGUUAAUCGGAAUCACUGGGCGUAAAGCGUGCGCAGGCGGUUAUAUAAGACAGAUGUGAAAUCCCCGGGCUCAACCUGGGACCUGCAUUUGUGACUGUAUAGCUAGAGUACGGUAGAGGGGGAUGGAAUUCCGCGUGUAGCAGUGAAAUGCGUAGAUAUGCGGAGGAACACCGAUGGCGAAGGCAAUCCCCUGGACCUGUACUGACGCUCAUGCACGAAAGCGUGGGGAGCAAACAGGAUUAGAUACCCCAGUAGUCCCUGUCUCUUAUAC